UCAAACAAGAUUUUUAACUGGCCUGACUGGUAACUGCUCAGUCAGUUGUUUUGGAUGGCUGACCUUCCUGUAACAGUUAAAAAGACUGACCUAAGCAGAAUACGGACACAGUGGCCCUGGAAUUCCCAGUGACCACCGCUCUAGAGCACUUAGACAAACACUCACGACUGCCGUCGAUGAUGGUUGAAGUGGUUGGCAGCGAGAUCUCCUGGAACCGGGGUGACACAAUGGCAACAGGGGGGCGAUUCUUUCGGGGCUCUGCAAGAAAGUGACCCAGAAAGGAGUCGGGAGAGAAAAGCAACUGUGUAAACACAAUUCUAAGAGAAAGCAACAAUGAAGUCACCACAGUGCACUAUCAUCCCAACAGUGAAGUCACCAUUGUGCACCAUCAUCCCAACAAGCCCAUUUUAGUGUUCGUCCAUCUCCUCUAACCAUUGACCAUAUACAAAAAAUAGUUUUA
Molecule: long non-coding RNA, 460 nt
Organism: Peromyscus eremicus (cactus mouse)
Lineage: Eukaryota; Metazoa; Chordata; Mammalia; Rodentia; Cricetidae
Exons: 2
Source: RefSeq, a predicted model, not a curated record